RNAcentral lists this ribosomal RNA (1751 nucleotides) under Monstrilla sp. DZMB335. RNAcentral's name for it is "SSU rRNA". It matches the Rfam family "Eukaryotic small subunit ribosomal RNA". Lineage: Eukaryota; Metazoa; Arthropoda; Copepoda; Monstrilloida; Monstrillidae. The record is from RNAcentral.
UAUGCUUGUCUCAAAGAUUAAGCCAUGUAUGUCCAAGUACAAGCCGAAAUAAGGUGAAACCGCGAAUGGCUCAUUAAAUCACACUUAAUGUACUGGACAGUAUGCAGUUACUUGGAUAACUGCGGUAAUUCUGGAGCUAAUACAUGCAUUCAAGCCCUGACUAUUGCAAAAUAUGUGAGGUGCGUUUAUUAGAUCAAAACCAAACAGUCUUGGCUGUUGGAUGGUGAUUCUGAAUAACUUUGGGCUGAUCGCAUGGCUCUACGCCGGCGACGUGUCCAUCCAAAGUGUGACCUAUCAACUGUCGAUUGUGGUAUAGACGACCACAAUGGUUUUGACGGGUAACGGGGAAUCAGGGUUCGAUUCCGGAGAGGGAGCCUGAGAAACGGCUACCACUUCUAAGGAAGGCAACAGGCACGCAAAUUACCCAAUGGCCGAUGGCCGAGGUAGUGACGAAAAAUAACGAUACCGGACUCAAUUGAGGCCUGGUAAUCGGAAUGAGCACAAUUUAAAUCCUUUAGCGAGGAACAAUUGGAGGGCAAGUCUGGUGCCAGCAGCCGCGGUAAUUCCAGCUCCAAUAGCGUAUAUUAAAGUUGUUGUUGUUAAAAAGCUCGUAGUUGGAUCUUGGUGAGCUCGGGACCCGACUCGUUACGAUGUCGUGUGUCAUUUAUGCUCGCGAUAUUUUGGUGGAAGUUCGUAGGUGCUCUUAACCGAGUGUCUGCGGAUGCCGCCAGGUUUACUUUGAAAAAAUUAGAGUGCUCAAAGCAAGCUUGACACGCUUGAAUAUUUGUGCAUGGAAUAAUGGAAUAGGACGUCGUUCCUAUUUUGUUGGUUUUCGGGAAUCGACGUAAUGAUUAACAGGGACAGUCGGGGGCAUUGGUAUCCAGACGUCAGAGGUGGAAUUCUUGGACCGUGUGAAGACUAACAACUGCGAAAGCAUUUGCCAAGAAUGUUUUCAUUAAUCAAGAACGAAAGUUAGAGGUUCGAAGGCAAUCAGAUACCGCUGUAGUUCUAACCAUAAACGAUGCCAGCCAGCGAUCUGCAAGUGUUUGAUUUUCAAGACUUUGCAGGCAGCUUCCGGGAAACCAAAGCUUAUGGGUUCCAGGGGAAGUAUGGUUGCAAAGCUGAAACUUAAAGGAAUUGACGGAAAGGCACCACCAGGGGUGGAGCUUGCGGCUUAAUUUGACUCAACACGGGAAAUCUCACCAGGUCCGGACACUAGAAGGAUUGACAGAUUGAUAGCUCUUUCUUGAUUUUGUGAAUUGUGGUGCAUGGCCGUUCUUAGUUGGUGGAGUGAUUUGUCUGGUUAAUUCCGAUAACGAACGAGACUCUGUCCUGCUAAAUAGUUGUAUCAUUUUCUGAUGUACAAUCUUCUUAGAGGGACUGGCGGUUAUUAGCCGCACGAGAUGGAGCAAUAACAGGUCUGUGAUGCCCGAAGAUGUUCUGGGCCGCACGCGCGCUACACUGAAGGAAUCAACGUGUUUUCCUUCCCAGAGAUGGGUAGGUAAUCCGUUGAACCUCCUUCGUGGUAGGAAUUGAGGCUUGCAAUUAUUCCUCAUGAACCAGGAAUCCCUAGUAAGUGCACGUCAUAAGCGUGCACUGAUUACGUCCCUGCCUUUUGUACACACCGCCCGUCGCUACUACCGAUUGGAUGUUUUAGUGAGGCAUUUGGAUCGAUUGUGUUUCUUGCUAACGCAAAAAUUGUGCUGAAAAGACUCCCAAACUUGAGCAUCUAGAGGAAGUAAAAGUCGUAA